RNAcentral lists this ribosomal RNA (207 nucleotides) under uncultured bacterium. Its description in RNAcentral is "partial 16S ribosomal RNA". It matches the Rfam family "Bacterial small subunit ribosomal RNA", at positions 568 to 774 of the family's 1533-position model. The record is from RNAcentral.
CGCGUAGGCGGUCUUUUAAGUCAGGUGUGAAAGCCCGGGGCUCAACCCCGGAAGUGCACUUGAAACUAUUAGACUUGAGUAUGGGAGAGGGAAGUGGAAUUCCUGGUGUAGCGGUGAAAUGCGUAGAUAUCAGGAGGAACAUCGGUGGCGAAGGCGACUUCCUGGACCAAUACUGACGCUGAGGCGCGAAGGCGUGGGGAGCAAACA